Molecule: ribosomal RNA, 506 nt
Filed under: uncultured bacterium
Lineage: Bacteria
Description: bacterial SSU rRNA
Rfam family: Bacterial small subunit ribosomal RNA
Source: RNAcentral
CUUAAUACAUGCAAGUCGAACGGUAAGGUCUCUUCGGAGAUACACGAGUGGCGCACGGGUGCGUAACGCGUAUGCAACCUACCUUUAACUGGGAAAUAGCCCCGAGAAAUCGGGAUUAAUGUCCCAUACUAUUCUGAGAAUGCAUAUUCUUAGAAUGAAAGCUCCGGCGGUUAUUGAUGGGCAUGCGUGACAUUAGCUAGUUGGUGAGGUAACGGCUCACCAAGGCUACGAUGUCUAGGGGUCCUGAGAGGGUUAACCCCCACACUGGUACUGAGACACGGACCAGACUCCUACGGGAGGCAGCAGUAAGGAAUAUUGGGCAAUGGACGCAAGUCUGACCCAGCCAUGCCGCGUGAAGGAUGAAUGUCCUAUGGAUUGUAAACUUCUUUUAUGCAGGAAAAACAUCCCGGUCGUGAACCGGGACUGAUGGUACUGUAUGAAUAAGCAUCGGCUAACUCCGUGCCAGCAGCCGCGGUAAUACGGAGGAUGCAAGCGUUAUCCGGAUU